UACAGAGGUCUCGAGCGUUGUUCAGAUUCAUUGGGCGUAAAGGGCGCGUAGGCGGCGGGGUAAGUCUGGUGUGAAAUCUCGGAGCUCAACUCCGAAAUUGCACUGGAUACUGCUCUGCUAGAGGGCUGGAGAGGAGAUCGGAAUUCACGGUGUAGCAGUGAAAUGCGUAGAUAUCGUGAGGAAGACCAGUGGCGAAGGCGGAUCUCUGGACAGCUCCUGACGCUGAGGCGCGAAGGCUAGGGGAGCAAACGGG
This 253-nucleotide ribosomal RNA is filed under the name uncultured bacterium. RNAcentral's name for it is "partial 16S ribosomal RNA". It matches the Rfam family "Bacterial small subunit ribosomal RNA", at positions 524 to 776 of the family's 1533-position model. The record is from RNAcentral.